UUCUCCUACGGGGGGCAGCAGUGGGGAAUAUUGCACAAUGGGCGCAAGCCUGAUGCAGCCAUGCCGCGUGUAUGAAGAAGGCCUUCGGGUUGUAAAGUACUUUCAGCGGGGAGGAAGGGGGAAUGGUUAAUAACCAUUUUCAUUGACGUUACCCGCAGAAGAAGCACCGGCUAACUCCGUGCCAGCAGCCGCGGUAAUACGGAGGGUGCAAGCGUUAAUCGGAAUUACUGGGCGUAAAGCGCACGCAGGCGGUCUGUCAAGUCGGAUGUGAAAUCCCCGGGCUCAACCUGGGAACUGCAUUCGAA
RNAcentral lists this ribosomal RNA (305 nucleotides) under uncultured bacterium. Its description in RNAcentral is "bacterial SSU rRNA". It matches the Rfam family "Bacterial small subunit ribosomal RNA", at positions 334 to 631 of the family's 1533-position model. The record is from RNAcentral.